This 313-nucleotide ribosomal RNA is filed under the name uncultured bacterium. RNAcentral describes it as "bacterial SSU rRNA". It matches the Rfam family "Bacterial small subunit ribosomal RNA", at positions 28 to 334 of the family's 1533-position model. The record is from RNAcentral.
GAUGAACGCUAGCGGCAGGCUUAACACAUGCAAGUCGAGGGGCAGCAUGAAGGUUGGCAAUAACCUUUGAUGGCGACCGGCGCAAGGGUGCGUAACGCGUGAGCAACUUGCCCGUUUCAGGGGGAUAACCGGUGGAAACGCCGACUAAUACCCCAUAGUACAAUCUUAAGGCAUCUUUGGUUGUUAAAGAAAUUCGGAAACGGAUAGGCUCGCGUGACAUUAGCUAGAUGGCGGGGUAACGGCCCACCAUGGCGACGAUGUCUGGGGGUUCUGAGAGGAAGGUCCCCCACACUGGAACUGAGACACGGUCCAG